ACACAUGCAAGUCGAGGGGCAGCGCGGGAUAGCAAUAUUCUGGCGGCGACCGGCGGAAGGGUGCGUAACGCGUGAGCGACAUGCCCGUUGCCCGGGGACAACCGGUGGGAACGCCGACUAAUCCCCGAUGGGAUACGAUGCUGCAUGGCAUUGUAUUGAAAGUUACGGCGGCGACGGAUUGGCUCGCGUCCGAUUAGCUGGUUGGCGGGGUAACGGCCCACCAAGGCUGCGAUCGGUAGGGGUUCUGAGAGGAAGGCCCCCCACAAUGGGACUGAGACACGGCCCAUACUCCUACGGGAGGCAGCAGUGAGGAAUAUUGGUCAAUGGGCGGAAGCCUGAACCAGCCAUGCCGCGUGCGGGAAGGAGGCCCUAUGGGCUGUGAACCGCUUUUGCCUGGGGGCAAUAAGGGCGUCGCGCACGCCCGAUGAGAGUACCAGGCGAAUAAGCAUCGGCUAACUCCGUGCCAGCAGCCGCGGUAAUACGGGGGAUGCGAGCGUUAUCCGGAUUCAUUGGGUUUAAAGGGUGCGUAGGCUGUGCGUCAAGUCGGGGGUGAAAUUCCGGUGCUCAACACCGGGGCUGCCCUUGAUACUGUCGCGCUGGAGUGCGGAUGCCGCCGGAGGAAUGAGUGGUGUAGCGGUGAAAUGCUUAGAUAUCACUCAGAACACCGAUUGCGAAGGCAUCUGGCGAAUCCGUAACUGACGCUGAGGCACGAAAGCGUGGGGAUAGAACAGGAUUAGAUACCCUGGUAUUCCACGCCGUAAACGAUGAUGGCUAACCGCCGGCGACACACUGUCGGUGGCCAAGCGAAAGCGAUAAGCCAUCCACCUGGGG
This 831-nucleotide ribosomal RNA is filed under the name uncultured bacterium. Its description in RNAcentral is "bacterial SSU rRNA". It matches the Rfam family "Bacterial small subunit ribosomal RNA", at positions 51 to 878 of the family's 1533-position model. The record is from RNAcentral.